GAGUUUGAUCGUGGCUCAGAUUGAACGCUGGCGGCAUGCCUUACACAUGCAAGUCGAACGGCAGCACGGGAGCUUGCUCCUGGUGGCGAGUGGCGAACGGGUGAGUAAUGCAUCGGAACGUAUCCUGGAGUGGGGGAUAACGUAGCGAAAGUUACGCUAAUACCGCAUAUUCUGUGAGCAGGAAAGCGGGGGACCUUCGGGCCUCGCGCUCUUGGAGCGGCCGAUGUCGGAUUAGCUAGUUGGUGAGGUAAAGGCUCACCAAGGCGACGAUCCGUAGCAGGUCUGAGAGGAUGAUCUGCCACACUGGAACUGAGACACGGUCCAGACUCCUACGGGAGGCAGCAGUGGGGAAUUUUGGACAAUGGGGGCGAACCCUGAUCCAGCCAUGCCGCGUGAGUGAAGAAGGCC
Molecule: ribosomal RNA, 408 nt
Filed under: bacterium enrichment culture clone ALO1_GLFRUDD03F9FY8
Lineage: Bacteria
Description: bacterial SSU rRNA
Rfam family: Bacterial small subunit ribosomal RNA
Source: RNAcentral